RNAcentral lists this ribosomal RNA (429 nucleotides) under Bacteroidota bacterium. RNAcentral describes it as "Bacteroidetes bacterium partial 16S ribosomal RNA". It matches the Rfam family "Bacterial small subunit ribosomal RNA", at positions 355 to 776 of the family's 1533-position model. The record is from RNAcentral. Lineage: Bacteria; Pseudomonadati; Bacteroidota.
UAGGGAAUCUUCGGCAAUGGGGGGAACCCUGACCGAGCAACGCCGCGUGAGUGAAGAAGGUUUUCGGAUCGUAAAGCUCUGUUGUUAAGGAAGAACGAGUGUGAGAAUGGAAAGUUCAUGCUGUGACGGUACUUAACCAGAAAGGGACGGCUAACUACGUGCCAGCAGCCGCGGUAAUACGUAGGUCCCGAGCGUUGUCCGGAUUUAUUGGGCGUAAAGCGAGCGCAGGCGGUUAGAAAAGUCUGAAGUGAAAGGCAGUGGCUCAACCAUUGUAGGCUUUGGAAACUGUUUAACUUGAGUGCAGAAGGGAAGAGUGGAAUUCCAUGUGUAGCGGUGAAAUGCGUAGAUAUAUGGAGGAACACCGGUGGCGAAAGCGGCUCUCUGGUCUGUAACUGACGCUGAGGCUCGAAAGCGUGGGGAGCGAACAGG